Molecule: ribosomal RNA, 492 nt
Filed under: uncultured bacterium
Lineage: Bacteria
Description: partial 16S ribosomal RNA
Rfam family: Bacterial small subunit ribosomal RNA
Source: RNAcentral
GACGAACGCUGGCGGCGUGCUUAACACAUGCAAGUCGAACGGUGAAGGGACCGGUUUUUGCUGGUUCUGGAUGAGUGGCGAACGGGUGAGUAACACGUGAGUAACCUGCCCCCUUCUUCUGGAUAACCGCAUGAAAGUGUGGCUAAUACGGGAUAUUCUGCGCCUGCUGCAUGGUGGGUGUGGGAAAGAUAUUGUUUCGGUGGGGAUGGGCUCGCGGCCUAACAGCUUGGUGGUGGGGUGAUGGCCUACCAAGGCGGUGACGGGUAGCCGGCCUGAGAGGGUGGACGGUCACACUGGGACUGAGACACGGCCCAGACUCCUACGGGAGGCAGCAGUGGAGAAUAUUGCACAAUGGGCGCAAGCCUGAUGCAGCGACGCCGCGUGAGGGAUGGAGGCCUUCGGGUUGUAAACCUCUUUCGCCAGUGAAGCAGGCCUGUCCCUUUUGUGGGUGGGUUGACGGUAGCUGGAUAAGAAGCGCCGGCUAACUACGUG